AUACGUAGGUGGCAAGCGUUGUCCGGAUUUACUGGGCGUAAAGGGAGCGUAGGCGGACUUUUAAGUGAGAUGUGAAAUACCCGGGCUCAACCUGGGUGCUGCAUUUCAAACUGGAAGUCUAGAGUGCAGGAGAGGAGAGUGGAAUUCCUAGUGUAGCGGUGAAAUGCGUAGAGAUUAGGAAGAACACCAGUGGCGAAGGCGACUCUCUGGACUGUAACUGACGCUGAGACGCGAAAGCGUGGGUAGC
RNAcentral lists this ribosomal RNA (247 nucleotides) under uncultured bacterium. Its description in RNAcentral is "partial 16S ribosomal RNA". It matches the Rfam family "Bacterial small subunit ribosomal RNA", at positions 523 to 769 of the family's 1533-position model. The record is from RNAcentral.